RNAcentral lists this transfer RNA (85 nucleotides) under Legionellales bacterium. Its description in RNAcentral is "tRNA-Leu". It matches the Rfam family "tRNA". From Rfam's summary of the family: Transfer RNA (tRNA) molecules are approximately 80 nucleotides in length. Their secondary structure includes four short double-helical elements and three loops (D, anti-codon, and T loops). Further hydrogen bonds mediate the characteristic L-shaped molecular structure. tRNAs have two regions of fundamental functional importance: the anti-codon, which is responsible for specific mRNA codon recognition, and the 3' end, to which the tRNAs corresponding amino acid is attached (by aminoacyl-tRNA synthetases). tRNAs cope with the degeneracy of the genetic code in two manners: having more than one tRNA (with a specific anti-codon) for a particular amino acid; and 'wobble' base-pairing, i.e. permitting non-standard base-pairing at the 3rd anti-codon position. The record is from RNAcentral. Lineage: Bacteria; Pseudomonadati; Pseudomonadota; Gammaproteobacteria; Legionellales.
GCCUCGGUGGCGGAAUUGGUAGACGCGCAUGAUUCAAAAUCCUGUUCCUUCGGGAGUGUGAGUUCGAGUCUCACCCGAGGCACCA